Molecule: ribosomal RNA, 253 nt
Filed under: uncultured bacterium
Lineage: Bacteria
Description: partial 16S ribosomal RNA
Rfam family: Bacterial small subunit ribosomal RNA
Source: RNAcentral
UACGUAGGGUGCGAGCGUUAAUCGGAAUUACUGGGCGUAAAGUGUGCGCAGGCGGCCGAGCAAGUCGAGUGUGAAAGCCCCGGGCUUAACUUGGGAAUUGCGCUCGAAACUACUUGGCUGGAGUGUGGCAGAGGAAGGUGGAAUUCCAGGUGUAGCGGUGAAAUGCGCAGAUAUCGGGAGGAACACCAAGUGCGAAGGCAGCUCGCUGGGACGUCACUGACGCUGAGACGCGAAAGCGUGGGGAGCAAACAGG